RNAcentral lists this long non-coding RNA (316 nucleotides) under Pan troglodytes (chimpanzee). Its description in RNAcentral is "long non-coding RNA NONPTRT011340". Lineage: Eukaryota; Metazoa; Chordata; Mammalia; Primates; Hominidae. The record is from RNAcentral.
AGAUGGAAACUUAUGAAGCUGACUAAUCAUAAUCCUUUUACCAAAGCCUGACAAAGACAGUCUCACUCACGGCUAGGAAGAUCUGUCCCUAUGUUAUGGGGGUUGAUGUCAGCGUGACUCCGGUCAGUCCUUGCUCUGUCUUCGCAUUCAGAUUCAACUGGCUCAUGGCUCAUACUGGGGGAACCAGGCCCGUGCUUGGGAUCCAUAGGUCCCUCCAGUCUACCGUUCCAUGGUCGCACACACCUUGAGGGUACCCACAAGGUUUGUCCAUCUCCUAUAAAAACUCAAGCAUACCCUUGUCCCCAUGUUAGUAAAU